UGCCUAUGUCACAGUCUAAGUUCGUGACAUCGUGUCGCAACGACUGUAUGACCCACAUCGUGUGGG
RNAcentral lists this small RNA (66 nucleotides) under Psychrobacillus psychrodurans. RNAcentral describes it as "Bacillaceae-1 RNA". The stretch from base 9 to 66 matches the Rfam family "Bacillaceae-1 RNA", at positions 10 to 67 of the family's 67-position model. Lineage: Bacteria; Bacillati; Bacillota; Bacilli; Caryophanales; Bacillaceae. The record is from RNAcentral.